Molecule: ribosomal RNA, 253 nt
Filed under: uncultured bacterium
Lineage: Bacteria
Description: partial 16S ribosomal RNA
Rfam family: Bacterial small subunit ribosomal RNA
Source: RNAcentral
UACGGGGGGGGCAAGCGUUGUUCGGAAUUACUGGGCGUAAAGGGCUCGUAGGCGGCCAACUAAGUCGGACGUGAAAUCCCCAGGCUCAACCUGGGAACUGCGUCCGAUACUGGAUGGCUUGAAUCCGGGAGAGGGAUGCAGAAUUCCAGGUGUAGCGGUGAAAUGCGUAGAUAUCUGGAGGAACACCGGUGGCGAAGGCGACUACCUGGCCUGUUCUUGACGCUGAGGCGCGAAAGCUAGGGGAGCAAACGGG